AGCACUUUAGCCCAGUUGGAAGAGCGUCGGACUCAUAAUCCGAAGGACGUAAGAUCAAAACUUACAAGUGCUA
This 73-nucleotide transfer RNA is filed under the name Pestalotiopsis fici W106-1. Its description in RNAcentral is "tRNA-Met (CAT) (tRNA-Met-CAT-2-1)". It matches the Rfam family "tRNA". From Rfam's summary of the family: Transfer RNA (tRNA) molecules are approximately 80 nucleotides in length. Their secondary structure includes four short double-helical elements and three loops (D, anti-codon, and T loops). The record is from RNAcentral. Lineage: Eukaryota; Fungi; Ascomycota; Sordariomycetes; Amphisphaeriales; Sporocadaceae.